This is a long non-coding RNA of Ctenopharyngodon idella (grass carp), 652 nucleotides long. RefSeq lists it as uncharacterized. The record is from RefSeq and is a predicted model, not a curated record. NCBI's taxonomy places the organism in Eukaryota, Metazoa, Chordata, Actinopteri, Cypriniformes, Xenocyprididae. The transcript is spliced from 3 exons.
CGACACUCCACAUAAGCUCACAGUUCAUCUCCGGAACAAACUAUGGAAAUAAAGUUGAAGUAAGAGUUGAAGGAGGGAUGCCAGAAGAACUACGGAAAGAAGAAUCACAUGGAAAUAUUGCAGCUUGGGAAAAGUCCGCCCUGUGAAGAACAGUGACAGCCCAAGGACGUGUUCUGGAGACCUUCAAAUGGUUUGGAGAGAGAAAAAAAGACUGCUAAAACCACUGUAAACUCAAAAAACCAGGUCUCCAGAGAAAAGCCAUGAAAAACAUCAGUAGAAGAACAUCUCAGGGUGACAUCCCUGUGGACCCCAGAGUCAGGGUGACCAUAAAGAGACCCCCGUGUUUCACCCCCAUGUCCUGAUGGAGAAAGGUCAGGGGUCAUAGGGAGCAUGGAUAUGUCCAUUCCCAGAGGGGAGGAAGGGUAAUGGAAUGGCAGAUUCGGGCCAAACGGAGCAAUUUGCGCUUAUCCCAUCUGAACAUGGAAGAAAAGAGAAAGACAUGAGGAGGUAAGCACAAUAAUGACCGUUUAGAUUCGCCACGGAAGACUGCUAUAAUGUGAAACAUUGAAGAUUGAAAAUGUGUGAGAUAAAGUACUGUUCAAAAGUCACAGUAAAGACAUUUAUAAUGUUCUUUUGAACAACAUUUGACGAA